UACUCAUUACUGAUAAAAUUUGUCACAAAUAGAAACAGAAAACUGUCCCAAAGCAAUGGUAAAAGUUUAUAGCUCAGAAGCCAAGCGUAACAAAUGUAUUUCAUUGAAGAAAUACCCCACAAAGGAAUACCUCUUCUUACGUGUUAGCUUUCUCAUCACAGCUCA
RNAcentral lists this small RNA (165 nucleotides) under Arabidopsis thaliana (thale cress). RNAcentral's name for it is "ATSL231710". The record is from RNAcentral. Lineage: Eukaryota; Viridiplantae; Streptophyta; Magnoliopsida; Brassicales; Brassicaceae.